This 590-nucleotide ribosomal RNA is filed under the name Bacillus pumilus. RNAcentral describes it as "bacterial SSU rRNA". It matches the Rfam family "Bacterial small subunit ribosomal RNA", at positions 547 to 1140 of the family's 1533-position model. Lineage: Bacteria; Bacillati; Bacillota; Bacilli; Caryophanales; Bacillaceae. The record is from RNAcentral.
GGAUAUUGGGCGUAAGGGCUCGCAGGCGGUUUCUUAAGUCUGAUGUGAAAGCCCCCGGCUCAACCGGGGAGGGUCAUUGGAAACUGGGAAACUUGAGUGCAGAAGAGGAGAGUGGAAUUCCACGUGUAGCGGUGAAAUGCGUAGAGAUGUGGAGGAACACCAGUGGCGAAGGCGACUCUCUGGUCUGUAACUGACGCUGAGGAGCGAAAGCGUGGGGAGCGAACAGGAUUAGAUACCCUGGUAGUCCACGCCGUAAACGAUGAGUGCUAAGUGUUAGGGGGUUUCCGCCCCUUAGUGCUGCAGCUAACGCAUUAAGCACUCCGCCUGGGGAGUACGGUCGCAAGACUGAAACUCAAAGGAAUUGACGGGGGCCCGCACAAGCGGUGGAGCAUGUGGUUUAAUUCGAAGCAACGCGAAGAACCUUACCAGGUCUUGACAUCCUCUGACAACCCUAGAGAUAGGGCUUUCCCUUCGGGGACAGAGUGACAGGUGGUGCAUGGUUGUCGUCAGCUCGUGUCGUGAGAUGUUGGGUUAAGUCCCAGCACGAGCGCAACCCUUGAUCUUAGUUGCCAGCAUUCAGUUGGGCACUC